RNAcentral lists this ribosomal RNA (255 nucleotides) under uncultured bacterium. Its description in RNAcentral is "partial 16S ribosomal RNA". It matches the Rfam family "Bacterial small subunit ribosomal RNA", at positions 524 to 776 of the family's 1533-position model. The record is from RNAcentral.
UACGGGGGGAGCAAGCGUUGUUCGGAUUUACUGGGCGUAAAGGGCGCGUAGGCGGCCACCGCAAGUCAAUUGUGAAAUCUCCGGGCUCAACCCGGAAAGGUCAACUGAUACUGCGGGGCUAGAGUGCAGAAGGGGCAACUGGAAUUCUCGGUGUAGCGGUGAAAUGCGUAGAUAUCGAGAGGAACACCUGCGGCGAAGGCGGGUUGCUGGGCUGACACUGACGCUGACAGCGCGAAAGCUAGGGGAGCGAACGGG